RNAcentral lists this long non-coding RNA (285 nucleotides) under Gossypium barbadense (sea-island cotton). RNAcentral's name for it is "long non-coding RNA (GBAR_LNC009739)". Lineage: Eukaryota; Viridiplantae; Streptophyta; Magnoliopsida; Malvales; Malvaceae. The record is from RNAcentral.
CGCGCAUACCAUACAAUAUUGACCACCAUCGUUAGAAUGAAAAAAGAAAAGAUGGAUAAUAAAAAUGAAUGUAUAAAAUCAUCUCACGACUCGAGCUUUUUGCAAGCUGUAAUUAGUCACUGGGCAAUCCUAAACAUUGAUUGAUUGCAGUUGUCAAGCAUUUGAGAAAAAGAAAAACAUACUUAGUAUAGCAGGUAUGGAAUAAGUAACAUGGACCACAAAAAGCAACACCAAGUGCAUGCUUCUAAAUAAAGCAGCCCCAUCAGAGUAGUAGCUACAUGACUU